UCUUAGCAACCGGAUUUGGUCCUAGUCCUUCUCUUGGUCCUCUCUAAAACGAUACAUGCGAGUUAAUUACAACACAGUGAGUAACAAUUAAAAGCUACUCUUAAAAGAAAUAGCUCUACCAAAACAAGGCAUCAGAAAAUAUCUCAGUUCAACAACGCCUAGCCAACCACACCUGCAGUACCUAACAUUAUACAAUAAGCAAAAGCUUGAUAUAGUUAUAGAAUUAAGAGUUGGUUAAUUAUGUGCCAGCCACCGCGGUUAUACAUAAAACUCAAACCAAGAAAACUCUCGGUCUAAAGGUGACUAGAGAAAACACCAUUUAGGGUAGAAAAAAACUCCAGUAUUAACAAGCUUCUAUAGUAAACUAAUCACAACUACAAUACCGCCCUAAACUCUUUAACUCAAAACACCAAAGCUCAAAAAUAAACUGGGAUUAGAUACCCCACUAUAUGAGCCGUAAAAUAUCAAUAACACCAGAGAACUACGAAUCAAAUUUAAAACUCAAAGGACUUGGCGGUUUUUAAGAUCUCCCUGGAGGAGCUUGCUAUCCAACCGAUAACCCACGAAAACCUUACCAGCA
This 580-nucleotide ribosomal RNA is filed under the name Astropecten duplicatus. RNAcentral describes it as "partial 12S ribosomal RNA". The record is from RNAcentral. Lineage: Eukaryota; Metazoa; Echinodermata; Asteroidea; Paxillosida; Astropectinidae.